Long non-coding RNA from Pongo pygmaeus (Bornean orangutan), 541 nucleotides. RefSeq lists it as uncharacterized. The transcript is spliced from 3 exons. NCBI's taxonomy places the organism in Eukaryota, Metazoa, Chordata, Mammalia, Primates, Hominidae. The record is from RefSeq and is a predicted model, not a curated record.
AUGAUUGCAAGUUUCCUGAGGCCUCCCCAGCCAUGCUUCCUGUACAGCCUGCAGAACUUUUUUUAGAGAGACAGGAUCUCACUCUUUCACCUAGGAUGGAGUCCAGUGGUGUGAUCAUAGCUCCAACUCCUGGGCUCAAGUUAUCCUCCCGCCUCAGCCUCCUGUGUAGCCGAGACUACAGAUGGCGUUUCCCUCUUGCCACCCAGGCGGGAGUGCAGUGGCAUGAUCUCAGCUCACUGCACCCUCCACCUCCCGAGUUCAAGUGAUUCUUAUGCCUCAGCCUCCUGAGUAGCUGGGAUUACAGGUGCCCAUCAUUAUGCCCAGCUAAUUUUUGUAUUUUUAGUAGAGAUGGGGUUUCACCAUGUUGACCAGGCUGGUCUUGAACACCUGACCUCAAGUGAUCCACCUGCCUCAGUCUCCCAAAAUGCUGGUAUUACAGGGGUUGCCACUGUGCCUGGACUUCUUUUUAUAGUUUUGAUUUAAAGUCUGUUUUAUCUGAUAUAAGCACAGCUACUCCUGCUCUCUUUUGUUUCCACCUGCA